GAUGAACGCUGGCGGCGUGCUUAACACAUGCAAGUCGAGCGAGAAGUUUUGAAAAGAUUCUUCGGAUGAAAUUUAAAAUGGAAAGCGGCGGACGGGUGAGUAACGCGUAGGCAACCUGCCCCAUACAAAGGGAUAGCAUUUGGAAACGAAUAUUAAUACCUUAUGAAACUUAACUAGUGCAUGCUAGGUAGGUCAAAGAUUUAUCGGUAUGGGAUGGGCCUGCGUCUGAUUAGCUAGUUGGUGAGGUAACGGCUCACCAAGGCGACGAUCAGUAGCCGACCUGAGAGGGUGACCGGCCACAUUGGAACUGAGACACGGUCCAAACUCCUACGGGAGGCAGCAGUGGGGAAUAUUGCACAAUGGGGGAAACCCUGAUGCAGCAACGCCGCGUGAACGAUGAAGGCCUUUGGGUCGUAAAGUUCUGUUCUAGGUGAUGAAAACUGACAGUAACCUAGGAGAAAGCCCCGGCUAACUCCGUG
Molecule: ribosomal RNA, 479 nt
Filed under: uncultured bacterium
Lineage: Bacteria
Description: partial 16S ribosomal RNA
Rfam family: Bacterial small subunit ribosomal RNA
Source: RNAcentral